Molecule: signal recognition particle RNA, 252 nt
Filed under: Cottoperca gobio
Lineage: Eukaryota; Metazoa; Chordata; Actinopteri; Perciformes; Bovichtidae
Description: Metazoan signal recognition particle RNA (ENSCGOG00000010537.1)
Rfam family: Metazoan signal recognition particle RNA
About the family: The signal recognition particle (SRP) is a universally conserved ribonucleoprotein. It is involved in the co-translational targeting of proteins to membranes. The eukaryotic SRP consists of a 300-nucleotide 7S RNA and six proteins: SRPs 72, 68, 54, 19, 14, and 9.
Source: Rfam by way of RNAcentral
GCCGGGUGCAGUGGCGCGCGCCUGUAAUCCAAGUGACCCGGAGGCUGAGGCUGGCGGAGCGUUUGAGCUCAGGAACGGGUGUCCACACUAGGAUCGGUAUCGAUAUGGUGCUCAUGGAGGAACCCCGGACCAGCAGGUCGUCUAAAGAGGGGUGCACCGGCCAGAAACUGAGCAGGUCAAAGCCCCCGUGCCGCUCACUAGUAGGAUUGCGCUUGUGAAUAGACACUGUAAUACAGCGGGACCCAGUCUCUU